UCGUCGCCGGCGACCACAGC
Molecule: microRNA, 20 nt
Filed under: Oryza sativa (Asian cultivated rice)
Lineage: Eukaryota; Viridiplantae; Streptophyta; Magnoliopsida; Poales; Poaceae
Description: osa-miR5809
Source: miRBase by way of RNAcentral